Struthio camelus australis is the source of this 3273-nucleotide long non-coding RNA. RefSeq lists it as uncharacterized. The record is from RefSeq and is a predicted model, not a curated record. Lineage: Eukaryota; Metazoa; Chordata; Aves; Struthioniformes; Struthionidae.
GCACUUGCUGCUACAGAGCUGGAUGCAUUGCCCAUUCCCUGCGCAGACUUGAGUACUGAGCCGGUGUAGUAUUGCUGUCCAUCACCAAGGAAACGGAGGGCUGGGGAGAGACACUUUUAUUCCCCAGCUGCUUUCUGCUGCACAGGGGAACAUGAAGCGAUGCUGCCUGGGAAGCAGAGGAGUCCUCUCUCCAGGGCACUGAGCUGGGAUUUUCACGUUCUUUCACUGCCGUUGUUUCCGAGGUGUUGUGUGACCUUGGGAUGUCAUUGUGAAUUAUGUCAGUUCAUGCUGAAAGAGUGGAUUGAAAGUGACUCGCUCUGGAUUUAUCCAUUCCCAUCCUUUGUUUCAAGAGGAUUGAGUUAAAAACUUUUACUCCAAGGCUAAAGACCUACCAAAACUACCUUUAUUAUUUAUAGUUCUUAUGGCUGUCACAUCGCCAUCUCAAAGUCAUUGACCAAGACUCCGUUGAGCUAGGUAAUAUGCAUAAAGAACAAAAAAGGAUGUUUUGGCACUGAGAGCUUACAUUUGAGAAUAAAAGGAGACAAUAGAAUAAGAAGAACAGUACAAGGAAUGAGUGAAACAAUGCUGAUGAUGGAGCAGGGAGCCCAGCUCUCAUGAGGUGUCAGAGAGGAGUUCAGAGAUAGCCCCUGCCUGUGUGGACAGACCCAUGUCACAGCAGAUGGGCCUGAAUGACAGGCAGGGAGUGAUUUUAUCCACAGAGGCAGAGAAAGGAAGUAACAGGAACUGGAGGAAAAGAGGAAGGAACCUGUCCUAAUUAUGUGGAGUUUGACUUGAUAGCUGAAGAUCUAUGAGGCCAAGAUGUUAAUGUGAGCAGAGCAAGAGUCAAAUCUGGAGUAGAAAGAUUGACUUAUAAUUCACCUGUAUAGAAAUGGACAUCUGAGUUGUGUUUAUGAGUAUGAUUAGUCUCAGAGGAAGUUAGAAGGAGAAACUGGAAACACAGACCAAAGUUGGAGUAUCUGUAAUAGGGUCUGUCACUUGUAGGCCUCACAUUCUGCUCCUGUAACCCCUCUGCCCUCUCUGGAAGUGACUAGUCUGUUGGAGGUACUAAUGCCCUGACCCACGUAACACUAUUCAAGAGCAAAUUACUUCUGGACAUCAUCAUCACUACUCUGUACAGUAUUUAGGGAAUUAGCAACGAUUACUGGACAGUAUCUUGUUUGGGGAACCUCGCUGGAGUUGCCACAGAAAAAGCCAGCACUGACCUUCUGCAAUUCUCUGUUGUCUUUAACUGACCGGUGGACCUUUUGCCCUGUUCGACAGACAAAAAAUUGAAAUCCGUGUCUGAGUGGUUUUCUCUUCUAGAAGCAUGCAAGAAGAAUCCUAGCCUGCCCUACACUGCUAAGAAGAUCUUAAACUCAGGCAACAAUCUUAUGCUUUAAAGAAGUCUCAUGAAGAAGCCACAGGUUCAGCUCCAGAGCCAAAUAAUCCUGUUAUACUAAUGCAGAUAUUACAGCUUCCAUACACUCUCUCUAUGGUACUUUGCUCUCUAGUUCUCCCUUCCUCCUGUGCCAAACGAAGAACCAUAGGGUUAGAAGGGACCUCGAGUGGGUGUCUAGACUAUUUUCCUGUCUUGGUACCAAACAGAAGCCUAUCUGCAAGGCUAUCUGCAAGAAGAGGGUUUAAGGAAUAAAACAGUAAACACAGAACAGCAGAGCAAGUAUUGCAGAGAAAGAGAGAGAGCGUGAGCAGAUCCAGCAAAGGUGCAUUUAUUUAGAAGAACAUGAGACACGAACUUUCAGCAAAGCCUGUUUGAACAUGCAGGUGAGCACAUUUCAGCAUGAACAGGCUUAGAACGGAAGCCUGGUAUGGGUAGCAAAAGCAGCUCCUGAAUGUACUGUCUUCCCUGGUUAGGUUAUAUACAAAAAGACUGAAUGAGCUCACUAGCUUUAUAAUAGGUGGCCAUGGCCACACCCAGCAGUCUCCUCUACUAACCCUGGCAAGCACUGGCUCCUGGUGGGAAAACACACUAUGGAUGAGGAGGGGACAGGCAGGCUGGGGUAAGCAAAAGCUGCUUUUUCUCUCUCCUUACCAUGAACUUUGGGUUAGCUGAACCAUGCCAGGCAGAGGAAGGCUAUGGCAAGUGUCUAUUAGGAAGCUGCAACUGGGGAUGGAUGUUUGGCUCUGGUUUGAUGCCUUCAUUCACUCAGAGAUGAUGAGACCUCAUGGAGUUAUCUGCUGUCAUUGCCCAUUCCGUGCUGUUGCCCCAAAGGAACUGGAAACCAAUAAGUUGACCCUGUGACUCAAGAUAACCUGUCAUCCUUAAGGAAAGACCUGCUAAUUAUGUGGAUAAAGUUAGUGUUAAAGCUGCAAGAAAGCGCAAAUCUCUGAGGGAUCAGGAGCACUGAGAGACAAAAUCUGGACAAGUACAAUGCUAUGCCUCUAAUGGGAGAACCCUGUUGUGCCCUGCAUCCUCAUGAAAUCCUCCUAUCAGCAGCCAGAGCUUUUGUCUUUUGCUGUUUGCAGGUGUGACACUGCUGAACAGAUGUCCCAUAGCCAAUGUGCUGAUGCCAGAAAAAUUGAAACAGAAUGCAUUAAAGGAGGGAACAUAAAAUUUAGAAAGGUCUAAAUCAUCUCAUUGCUGGCUAACACUGUGUACGGCAAGACACACAGAGUGGAACUAGGACCCACGCUGCAACCAAGUGAGAUAACAUUCGUUGGCAGAAAAAUAUUUAAGAAGAACUGGAGAAAAGGCUAGGCUCAUUUUCCUUCUUUUUGUCAUAUAUGUAGUAGUUCUAUAAAUUCACAAUUUUAUGUAUAGAUAUUUCAGCUUUAUGUGCAUUCUCUUUGAAGGGUGAGCAUUAGGGAAGUAGAAAUCAAUCAGAGAAGUUAAUUUUAGACUUAAAAAUUCAAGUUCUUGUUAUAUAAAUUCCCAAGUGGAUAUCUCUUUCUUACAGUCAGGAAAUUAUGACAAAUGAAUUCAAGAAGGUAAGCUUAACGUCAGGACAAAAUAUAGGUGGUUAUAAAUCUUUGGAAAUUAUGCUGAGGUUUUCACACAGCUUGGGUCAGACUUUUUUUAGAGCGCUGUGCUUAGGAGAAUAAAAUCAUACGGCGUGUCUUGAAAAGGAACAGCAAAGUGUAAUUAGGCUUAUCUGAGAAUAAAAGGGAUAUGUAUAAAAGAUGUCAGUAGUCAAACAAAUAUAUUGUGUAGCAGUAUAUUAUUUGAUGAUUGAGUGGUUAAUUCUACAGGAGAAAUAUGAUUUUGAGGCCAACAAGGGAAUUAGACAGAUCUGCCCUACUGGAACAGAUCACAGG